AACGAACGCUGGCGGCAUGCCUAACACAUGCAAGUCGAACGAGACCUUCGGGUCUAGUGGCGCACGGGUGCGUAACGCGUGGGAACCUGCCCUUAGGUUCGGAAUAACUCCCCGAAAGGGGUGCUAAUACCGGAUAAUGUCUUCGGACCAAAGAUUUAUCGCCUUUGGAUGGGCCCGCGUUGGAUUAGCUAGUUGGUAGGGUAAAAGCCUACCAAGGCGACGAUCCAUAGCUGGUCUGAGAGGAUGAUCAGCCACACUGGGACUGAGACACGGCCAGACUCCUACGGGAGGCAGCAGUGGGGAAUAUUGGACAAUGGGCUAAAGCCUGAUCCAGCAAUGCCGCGUGAGUGAUGAAGGCCUUAGGGUUGUAAAGCUCUUUUACCCGGGAUGAUAAUGACAGUACCGGGAGAAUAAGCUCCGGCUAACUCCGUG
This 432-nucleotide ribosomal RNA is filed under the name uncultured bacterium. Its description in RNAcentral is "partial 16S ribosomal RNA". It matches the Rfam family "Bacterial small subunit ribosomal RNA", at positions 29 to 507 of the family's 1533-position model. The record is from RNAcentral.